CACAAUGUCAUAGGCUCCUCAAGGUUGGUCGGCUCAUCCCCGUGGAAGGGGGUGAGAGCUUUGUCAACACAUGAUGUGGUUUCGCUCAUGCUCCAGUUCGGCCUGUUUCUGAUCGCUGGCCUCUCGCUGAUCGUGACGAUCGUAAAGCACAUGAUUGACAAUCAGAACAAAAAGAAAUGACCUCCCUUGUGCUCGCCAGCGCGGGAGGUCAUUUCUACGUAAUUUACACCUGAGCCGAUCCCCGGAGGGGGAUGACAUUGAGCCGACCGUUGGUGUUCUCAGCACCGGCG
This 290-nucleotide small RNA is filed under the name Tumebacillus flagellatus. RNAcentral's name for it is "BsrG". It matches the Rfam family "BsrG". From Rfam's summary of the family: bsrE, bsrG and bsrH pair through intermolecular interactions with antisense sRNAs. SR4 interaction with the 3'UTR of bsrG RNA promotes bsrG degradation and inhibits its translation. Lineage: Bacteria; Bacillati; Bacillota; Bacilli; Caryophanales; Alicyclobacillaceae. The record is from Rfam by way of RNAcentral.